RNAcentral lists this ribosomal RNA (253 nucleotides) under uncultured bacterium. RNAcentral describes it as "partial 16S ribosomal RNA". It matches the Rfam family "Bacterial small subunit ribosomal RNA", at positions 524 to 776 of the family's 1533-position model. The record is from RNAcentral.
UACGUAGGGGGCAAGCGUUGUCCGGAUUUAUUGGGCGUAAAGAGCUCGUAGGCGGUUUGUCGCGUCUGCUGUGAAAACACGAGGCUCAACCUCGCGCCUGCAGUGGGUACGGGCAGACUAGAGUGCGGUAGGGGAGAUUGGAAUUCCUGGUGUAGCGGUGGAAUGCGCAGAUAUCAGGAGGAACACCGAUGGCGAAGGCAGAUCUCUGGGCCGUAACUGACGCUGAGGAGCGAAAGCGUGGGGAGCGAACAGG